GAUGAACGCUGGCGGCGUGCCUAAUACAUGCAAGUCGAGCGAACGGACGAGAAGCUUGCUUCUCUGAUGUUAGCGGCGGACGGGUGAGUAACACGUGGAUAACCUACCUAUACGACUGGGAUAACUUCGGGAAACCGGAGCUAAUACCGGAUAAUAUUUUGAACCGCAUGGUUCAAAAGUGAAAGACGGUCUUGCUGUCACUUAUAGAUGGAUCCGCGCUGCAUUAGCUAGUUGGUAAGGUAACGGCUUACCAAGGCAACGAUGCAUAGCCGACCUGAGAGGGUGAUCGGCCACACUGGAACUGAGACACGGUCCAGACUCCUACGGGAGGCAGCGGUAGGGAAUCUUCCGCAAUGGGCGAAAGCCUGACGGAGCAACGCCGCGUGAGUGAUGAAGGUCUUCGGAUCGUAAAACUCUGUUAUUAGGGAAGAACAUAUGUGUAAGUAACUGUGCACAUCUUGACGGUACCUAAUCAGAAAGCCACGGCUAACUACGUG
Molecule: ribosomal RNA, 497 nt
Filed under: uncultured bacterium
Lineage: Bacteria
Description: partial 16S ribosomal RNA
Rfam family: Bacterial small subunit ribosomal RNA
Source: RNAcentral